CACGUAGGGCGCAAGCGUUGUCCGGAAUUAUUGGGCGUAAAGAGCUCGUAGGCGGUCUGUUACGUCUGCUGUGAAAACCCAGGGCUUAACCCUGGGCUUGCAGUGGAUACGGGCAGACUAGAGUGUGGUAGGGGAGACUGGAAUUCCUGGUGUAGCGGUGAAAUGCGCAGAUAUCAGGAGGAACACCGAUGGCGAAGGCAGGUCUCUGGGCAUUAACUGACGCUGAGGAGCGAAAGCAUGGGGAGCGAACAGG
This 253-nucleotide ribosomal RNA is filed under the name uncultured bacterium. RNAcentral describes it as "partial 16S ribosomal RNA". It matches the Rfam family "Bacterial small subunit ribosomal RNA", at positions 524 to 776 of the family's 1533-position model. The record is from RNAcentral.